RNAcentral lists this non-coding RNA (26 nucleotides) under Rattus norvegicus (Norway rat). Lineage: Eukaryota; Metazoa; Chordata; Mammalia; Rodentia; Muridae. The record is from RNAcentral.
AGCAACUGGCACUGGUGGACCUCAGA